AGAAAAAGAAUAAGGAUAGCGCCUGCCCGGUGACGAGAGUUAAACGGCCGCAGUUAAUAGCUGUGCUAAGGUAGCGCAAUCAAUUGUCCCUUAAUUGAGGAAUGGUAUGAAUGGCUGUACGUGAGAUAAGCUGUCUCUAUUAUAAUAGCAUGAAAUUUUCCUUUAAGUGAAAAGACUUAGAUUUUUUUAAAAGACGAGAAGACCCUAUCGAACUUAAUAGUUUUUAAAAAUAAUAAUUUAAAAAGAAGUUUUACUGGGGCAGUAAGAAGAAAAAAAUAAUUCUUCCUUAGAAAAAAGAUCCCUUAUUAAGGACAAAAGAAAAAGUUACCGU
This 331-nucleotide ribosomal RNA is filed under the name Dreissena presbensis. RNAcentral's name for it is "partial 16S ribosomal RNA". It matches the Rfam family "Bacterial large subunit ribosomal RNA", at positions 1836 to 2469 of the family's 2925-position model. The record is from RNAcentral. Lineage: Eukaryota; Metazoa; Mollusca; Bivalvia; Myida; Dreissenidae.